CAUUUUAAAAAUAGGCUGGGUUUCUGACUUUGUGGCUGUGGUAACUAGUGACAACCUAGAAUUAGCUUGACUCCGAGUUAAUAGCCUGGUGACAGACUGCUUCAUCAACAAUGGUAAAUGUGUGAUAUGUGAAAAGAAAUGGUAAAUGUGUGAUAUGUGAAAAGAUGUAUAAAAAAAAUACCCGGUUUGAUGAGCUAGUAGGUUAAUUACUCAGCCAAGCAGAUAUAAGUAGUAGAUCAUUUUGGUUGUGAAGUGCAUUAUCAAACGUGUUCUCCUUUCUUCUCCUUUCUUUAUAACAAAAUGCAAUUAACCCCGUGGCUGUCUAUUGUAUAACYCUGUCACAGGCUCUCCCAGUCAACACCACCUCAUGAUAUGAGGAAGUAAAUUGUUUAUAAGGAUUGCCUGCUGCAGUUGUUUGAGAGAUGUCCAGUUUGCAGCCGAACAGCCAACAUAGAGAAGACCAGCAAGGGGACCCUCAACAUCACGCAGACAUGCACUCGCUGUGAGCAUUCCUAUAAAUGGAACAGGGAGGACACUUGAAUCAGUCCAGCUGUUACCAUGAGCCCAUCCCGCCAAUUAAGGUGCCACCAACCUGAUCUACAAUGGCAAAGACCUCACCUCCAGCCUCACCUCGUUUGCGCAACAACGAUUGUCGAUAAGUAGACCAGAAUUAGAUGCAUCUAUGGAGCCAGCACUUGGAGACUUGCAAGGUGAUGUGAUGGAGUCCUGACCGACAGACAGGCUCGAGUCUCUGAAUGGAGAGACCUGGCACUCGGCAUAAACAUGUUACUAGAUAACUUUUCCUUGCAUUGUCUUUUUUUUUUUAUUGAAUUAAAUGGUAUSACUCAAUACGGGGAGGGAGAAACUGUUUAUUCUGCACCAGGAUCAGGGAACUCCUGUUUUAUACGGGACACAACACAGGAAGGUAUGACCACUGAUAUGUUUGCUAAGGCAGCCCCAUUACCGCCAGACAAAAUGCAGAUAGGCAGAGUAUCUGUAUCGGCUGGGAAUGACAAUGAAAGGUCAAAGGUUCACAUUGUUAUAUUAGCAGAACACUGCUUCUAUGGUAUUAUGUAAAGUGUUGUUUAUUCUACAUGGACCUGUUACUACAUUUGAAAGUUAUCAAAAUACUUAGUUUAGAAUAUUUACAUAAAUUUAGCAAUCACAUUCUUGUCGUUUUUACACUGUAGGCUACUGACCUAUUCAAAGCUUCCUCCGGCAUCUCACCAUACAUCUAGCA
Salvelinus sp. IW2-2015 is the source of this 1240-nucleotide long non-coding RNA. RefSeq lists it as uncharacterized. The record is from RefSeq and is a predicted model, not a curated record. NCBI's taxonomy places the organism in Eukaryota, Metazoa, Chordata, Actinopteri, Salmoniformes, Salmonidae.